GGGGGCGUAAAGGUUUCGACAGGGAUUAUGAAACUGGGCAAGCGGGUAGUGUAGCGGAAACACUUAAAAGCCGCAAUUUAAAUAAUAAACGACAACAAUAAAGUUGCCUUAGCAGCCUAAUUAGGCUGCCGUCCAACCAAAGAGUACCGCGGCUUUGCGCGGGCGUCAUUUUAGCGGUUAAUCUGAAUAAAACGGUUCCCAACGCUUUAUCAGAAAUUAUCGGGAUGCACAAAAAAUUAUUUUGUUAGCUUGGCAUUUUUUGUAAAGCCUUCAAACUGACUGCACCCGGAGAAAACCCAGUGAAUUGAUUUUUGGACAGGAGUUCGAUUCUCCUCGCCUCCACCA
Molecule: transfer-messenger RNA, 345 nt
Filed under: human gut metagenome
Rfam family: transfer-messenger RNA
About the family: Bacterial tmRNA, also known as 10Sa RNA or SsrA, is named for its dual tRNA and mRNA-like properties.
Source: RNAcentral